RNAcentral lists this ribosomal RNA (915 nucleotides) under uncultured Roseateles sp. RNAcentral's name for it is "bacterial SSU rRNA". It matches the Rfam family "Bacterial small subunit ribosomal RNA", at positions 170 to 1064 of the family's 1533-position model. The record is from RNAcentral. Lineage: Bacteria; Pseudomonadati; Pseudomonadota; Betaproteobacteria; Burkholderiales; Sphaerotilaceae.
CGCAUACGACCUGAGGGUGAAAUCGGGGGAUCGCAAGACCUCGCGCGAUUGGAGCGGCCGAUAUCAGAUUAGGUAGUUGGUGAGGUAAAGGCUCACCAAGCCGACGAUCUGUAGCUGGUCUGAGAGGACGACCAGCCACACUGGGACUGAGACACGGCCCAGACUCCUACGGGAGGCAGCAGUGGGGAAUUUUGGACAAUGGGCGCAAGCCUGAUCCAGCCAUGCCGCGUGCGGGAAGAAGGCCUUCGGGUUGUAAACCGCUUUUGUCAGGGAAGAAAAGGUUCUGGCUAAUACCUGGGACUCAUGACGGUACCUGAAGAAUAAGCACCGGCUAACUACGUGCCAGCAGCCGCGGUAAUACGUAGGGUGCAAGCGUUAAUCGGAAUUACUGGGCGUAAAGCGUGCGCAGGCGGUUAUGCAAGACAGAGGUGAAAUCCCCGGGCUCAACCUGGGAACUGCCUUUGUGACUGCAUGGCUAGAGUACGGUAGAGGGGGAUGGAAUUCCGCGUGUGGCAGUGAAAUGCGUAGAUAUGCGGAGGAACACCGAUGGCGAAGGCAAUCCCCUGGGACCUGUACUGACGCUCAUGCACGAAAGCGUGGGGAGCAAACAGGAUUAGAUACCCUGGUAGUCCACGCCCUAAACGAUGUCAACUGGUUGUUGGGAGGGUUUCUUCUCAGUAACGUAGCUAACGCGUGUAAGUUGACCGCCCUGGGGAGGUACGGCCGCCAAGUUGGAAACUCAAAGGAAUAUGACGGGGACCCGGCACAAGCCGGUGGAAUGAUGUGGGUUUAAUUCGAAUGCAACGCCGAAAAACCUUUACCUACCCUUGACAUGUCUGGAAUCCUGGAGGAGAUUUGGGAGGUGCUCUAAGAAAGCUAUAACACCAGUGCUGCAUGGCCGUCGUCCAGCUCGUG